Molecule: non-coding RNA, 2891 nt
Organism: Nylanderia fulva
Lineage: Eukaryota; Metazoa; Arthropoda; Insecta; Hymenoptera; Formicidae
Source: RefSeq, a predicted model, not a curated record
UCAAAUAUUUCCCAGUCGUGCGAUUAUAUCGAUUCGGAUUAGUCGUUUCGAUCUCGAACAAGAUGUUCGAAGUAAAUUGACGACAACGUAAUUAUAUCUCUCGUGAUUUGAAAAAUAUCUUAUAUCAUGUAUUAAACACACAUAUGUAUGUGAAAGGUUGUUCUACUACGUUAGCAUUGAAUGACCGACGAUUAUCUGUAUGAUUGUCGAGAGAGAAACGCGAUUAUAUCUUCGAUAUACCGAAGAUAUUUUUACCUCUCACACACAAUCUUAUAUCGCGCGAUUAUUACUUCGAUUCGAGAUUGCGUCUCAUCUUCUCCAAGAUUCCGCGAUUCGUUCUCGUGAUAUAUUGUCGCGCAAUAAUACGUGGAUACGCGGAUAAUUUUCAUCUGACAUCUGUCGUUGAUGAUAUAUCAUCUUAUGAUGAUCUUGUUGGAUACAUCAAGAAGCAAAGAUAAAUUCGAUUAUCUCUAUGAUAAUUAACUCUGACCACCCUGCUGAUUCCAAAACCAUCGCUCUGAAUAGGAAUAAUCGGCUCUUCUCUAAUGUUCUAGGACACUUACCGUUCUCGGACUUGGGUGGAACGGGCUCGAUCUUGACGGAGGUGGUGGUGGCGUGUAGAGACGUGGAAACCUCGGCGACUUGGCAGGGCACCGAGGCCAAGGGUUCCCUCUUCACCGUCAGAUUGGCACCGCUAUUGUUGGCACCCGCAUUGCUGUCCUGUCCGUUCCAAGAUGAAGCGACAGGUUUCCUCUUCCAGAUUGGAGUUUUUUUUUAGAAUUUCAAGAACUGUUCAGGAUUGGAAGCUCGAAAAAUAUAGCUUCAGAAAGAUCGAAAUCUGACGUCUGGGAAAUGUGAAUAAAAAAUGAGGAGAUUAGAGAGGUCCAAAAAGAAGCUUCCGAUUAUCAAGGGUACCACACGGACUCGUACCAUUGCUAUUCCUGCAGAGGCACGACGUCCUGGUCGAUUUGUUCUCCAGCUUCACCGGUUGGCCUUGACUGGGCAGAAAGGCCUCCCGCUUCUUCGUGGCCGUGGUGGCGGCGGUGGUGGUUUGAACGGCGGCGGCUUGGACGGCACCACCGCCGUGCACCAGCAUGCCACUGGUCGUGCUGCUGGUGUUGGUCAGGCAGGACGAGCCCGAGUUGACGGUGACGUUGCAUCCUGUCGUCGCCGUCGCGCCUAUCGGCGGUUGGUACUCCUGCAGAAGGACACCCGUCGUCGGCGCGAUCCCGCUCGCCGAGUUGGGUGACGAGAAGCUGUUGAUGGUCAACGUCGGCGCGCCGCCGGUCACCAGGGACAGCUGGGGCGAGAACGCGUUCUGGUGGAGGCCGCCUUUUGCCAAAUACAAGACUUGAUAUUACGCUGAUAAGAUAAUUCUCGGGAUGGCAAGGGGAGAGAGGAAGAUCCGAUUCAGCAAACUCAUUAGAAAAAUUUGCUUCAAUAUUUUUUCGAAAACUCUCAGAGAUGCUUUUUCCGGAAAGUGCUACAAGUUGUCGAUUCGUUGAAGGAAUUAUCAAAUUUUAGCGCACGUGCAGCGGUUCCCCGAUACUUGGAAAUUUCCCGAGUGCGACAAACACGUCCGGGAUUCAAUAGGUUCCCUUACCGUGAUGCAGAUGGUGGAGCCCGGUGAGGUUGAGGGUAUGCUGAGUGUGCUGGGUAUGCUGGGCGUGAUGCAGGCUACCGGCAACGUUAACCCCGACACCCUGCAGACUCAGGGCCUGCUGGCCCGCCGCCGCGGGCGCCAGGUUCGCCAAGUUUUUCGCCAGCAGCUCCAGCUGCGUCACGGGCACGGGGCUGUAGGGCGAUCCCGGCGGGGGCGUGGGAGCGCCCCAGGUGUAGCCGCCCAUCCCGACCCCAACCGCCGCGGAAAACACGCUCUCUGAAACUGGAGAAUCCGCCGAUUAAUCGACCCGGCUCACCGCGAACGGGCGAUAAGUGUACGGUAUUCGUGCGCUCUCUCUCUCUCUCUCUCUCUUGCUCCUGUCCGUGAAUAGAAAAGUUAUGUUAUUCCGCGAUCGCGAUUCUAGAUCGAGUCCAUUUGACGAUCGAAAUAGCGGGGUAUUUUAUCUUGUGUAGAAUUGUCUCUAUUUGUAUAAUCAAAAGCAUGUAAUCUCUGGAUCAUUUAGCUUCUCGAGGAAGAAUAAAAUGAGAGCUCCAUUUUUUAUCAAUUAUUGAUAAAAUACGGAGAGGGUAGCUCUCGAGAUGGGGGUACUUUGGUUCUAUAUUUCGCCAAUAAUUAGGAUUCCAUAUUUUAUCGAUAAUUACCUAACCGGAUAUUUUAUCGAUAAUUAGGUAACUGCAGUUUGCAAGGGGAGGAGAAUACGGUGGUAGAAAUGGGGCGGAUAUUACAAUUUUCAAAAUCCGCGUUUUGCGAGGGAAAAGUCUCGCGUUAUUCUCGCGAGAGGGAGAGAGAGAGAGAGAGAGAACACGCGACGUUCUAUCGGAGCGCGCGGUAGCGCGAUAUAUCUUCGGCAGCGCGCUGCGCCAUCGCUAGGACUAUUGAUUUUAUCUAAAUGCGGAUACGUAUCUGCCUAUGCAAAUUAACGCGUGUGUGAAAAAUAUCUACGUCGAUGUCUACAACGAUUGCGUAUACAGACUUGACUGUCGUUAGCAGAAUGACACGACGUCGGAAAGUGUCAUUCAUCCCAAGAUUAUGCAUUAUGUCAAAAUUUCGAAUCUACAUCUAUGUACGUCCUUCGCUGCGCGACUUUAUACAUAUACUUACUUGUUCGUUCUGCAAUACAGCCCAACGAAGCAUGAAAGAUAAGGUUGAAUUGAUUAGAAACCGCGAAAUCGAAUCUUUACUAUACGGGAAAAAAUCAUCUCGACAUUCAUCAGAGUCCACGCAUUUCGCCAACUUGUUGAUUAAUAAUAUAAGUUAUAUAUUGUUA